Long non-coding RNA from Mus musculus (house mouse), 1288 nucleotides. RefSeq annotates it as predicted gene, 32513. NCBI's taxonomy places the organism in Eukaryota, Metazoa, Chordata, Mammalia, Rodentia, Muridae. The record is from RefSeq and is a predicted model, not a curated record. The transcript is spliced from 3 exons.
CUGUUCUUGUGCCCAUGAUGGCAAGCCAGUCUCCGUGGGAAGCCAUGCCUGUCUCCAAUACCACCAUGGUAUAGCGAGAUGGCAGGUACAGGUGCACCUGGUAUGUUCUUGUCAGGAGCUGGCUCCAAAUAAGGCUGCUGUGAGCAUCUGUACAGCGUCUUCCAUGGCCAUCUAUCUGAUCACUUUGCUGUCCUUGCAGGUGUCAAGAGGGCCUCUAAACAUGUCCUAAUGUGUGCUACCCUGUGAUCAAGGGUGUGAAGCACUUUGCACAGUGGCUGGUCCUUUGCAUGGCCCCUGUUAUAAAGCACCACCCUGUUACAGUGCUCUCUGCCUUUUGUGAUAAUUGAAUUUCCUAUCUGCCAUCCUCUUCCUUCCCCAUGUUUGCAAUGAUACAUCUUCUGUUCGGUUACCCCACAUGCCAGGGCUGUCCCAAGAAACAAAACCAACAGGAGGUACUAGGACAGGGGCUCUCUUCAUGGUCUGCCUGUAGCUUUCCAGAUUGGUGUCUGUGCUCUGACAUGGAAAUGUCUGAUGAUGUUGAUGUGGGAGCAUAUGUGCAUGUGUGUGUGAAUACUGGUCGAAGCUAGUUACAAGUGGCAUAAAUAACUCAGGGCGUGGUGCCGGCCACUUUCAUGUAUCAUCUUGGCUGGACAGUGAUGGCCACUUUCUGCUUGUGAAAGAUGGCAGUGGUUGUGGUCAAAGUCUACAAAAAUUACCAGCCGAGUGCCAUGGCAUGUAUCUGGGAGGCUGAGGCAGGAGGUUUGCAGUUUUUGCUUUGGGGCAUGUAGAGAGACCCUGUCCCCGAAAACAAGAAGGAAAGAAAGGUUAAUAGGGCAGGUGGGCCUUGUCUGAUCAGAUGGGGGGGGGGAAGCACGAAGCUUUAGCGUCCUAUGAAGAGUCAGCCUUGAGGUGCUAAUGUAGAGAGCUCCCAGAGUCUCCAACCAACUGGCUCAUCCCACAUGCUAUGGAACUUGCCAAGUUCAAGCUGUCAAAAGAUGAAAUGGAAAUGGACACAGGGCCCCAGGAGACAGCUCAGCUGGUAAAGAUGCUUCCCGGACAAGCGAGGUAACUGGUUUCCACCUCAGGGCCCACAUAAAGGUGGACACAGAGAAUGGAUUCCUAAAAGCUGCUCAGGUUUAACUUAUCUCGAGUAACAAGAGAGAGUCUCGCCCUACUGGCUGAGGAUCUUCAGAGUGAAAUUAAGAGUUUCUGUGGAAGAACAUCUUCUAUUUGUGUAGAAACUGUCCAAAGAAGAAAGGGAAUUUAACAUUAAAAGUGAUUUAAAAAA